GUGGGGAAUUUUGGACAAUGGGCGCAAGCCUGAUCCAGCCAUGCCGCGUGCAGGAUGAAGGCCUUCGGGUUGUAAACUGCUUUUGUACGGAACGAAACGGUCCGGGUUAAUACCCUGGGCUAAUGACGGUACCGUAAGAAUAAGCACCGGCUAACUACGUGCCAGCAGCCGCGGUAAUACGUAGGGUGCAAGCGUUAAUCGGAAUUACUGGGCGUAAAGCGUGCGCAGGCGGUUUUGUAAGACAGGCGUGAAAUCCCCGGGCUCAACCUGGGAAUUGCGCUUGUGACUGCAAGGCUGGAGUGCGGCAGAGGGGGAUGGAAUUCCGCGUGUAGCAGUGAAAUGCGUAGAUAUGCGGAGGAACACCGAUGGCGAAGGCAAUCCCCUGGGCCUGCACUGACGCUCAUGCACGAAAGCGUGGGGAGCAAACAGGAUUAGAAACCCCAGUAGUCC
This 450-nucleotide ribosomal RNA is filed under the name uncultured bacterium. Its description in RNAcentral is "partial 16S ribosomal RNA". It matches the Rfam family "Bacterial small subunit ribosomal RNA", at positions 354 to 796 of the family's 1533-position model. The record is from RNAcentral.